UACGAAGGUUGCAAGCGUUGUUCGAAAUCACUGGGCUUAAAGGGCGCGUAGGCGGAACUGAAAGUGUCUUGUGAAAUCCCCCGGCUCAACCGGGGAAUUGCUCGGCAAACUACAGUUCUUGAGUGAAGUAGGGGUGCAUGGAACUCUUGGUGGAGCGGUGGAAUGCGUAGAUAUCAAGAGGAACGCCGGUGGUGAAGACGGUGCACUGGACUUUUUCUGACGCUGAGGCGCGAAAGCGUGGGGAGCAAACAGG
This 253-nucleotide ribosomal RNA is filed under the name uncultured bacterium. RNAcentral's name for it is "partial 16S ribosomal RNA". It matches the Rfam family "Bacterial small subunit ribosomal RNA", at positions 524 to 776 of the family's 1533-position model. The record is from RNAcentral.